This 440-nucleotide ribosomal RNA is filed under the name uncultured bacterium. Its description in RNAcentral is "bacterial SSU rRNA". It matches the Rfam family "Bacterial small subunit ribosomal RNA", at positions 338 to 795 of the family's 1533-position model. The record is from RNAcentral.
CCUACGGGGGGCAGCAGUGGGGAAUAUUGCACAAUGGGGGAAACCCUGAUGCAGCAACGCCGCGUGAGCGAUGAAGGCCUUCGGGUCGUAAAGCUCUGUCCUAAGGGAAGAAUACUGACGGUACCUUAGGAGGAAGCCCCGGCUAACUACGUGCCAGCAGCCGCGGUAAUACGUAGCGGGCUAGCGUUAUCCGGAAUUACUGGGCGUAAAGGGUGCGUAGGCGGCCCUUCAAGUCAGAGGUGAAAGGCUACGGCGGAACCGUAGUAAGCCUUUGAAACUGUAGGGCUUGAGUGCUGGAGUGAAGUGUGGGAUUCCCAGUGUAGCGGUGAAAUGCGUAGAUAUUAGGGGGAGCGCCAGUUGCGAAGGCGGCUCUCUGGACUGUAUCUGUCGCUGAGGCACGAAUGCGUGGGGAGCGAACAGGAUUAGAUACCCCAGUAGUC